GGCGUAUUCUGCGUCCGAGUUGUAAUUUGAAGAAGGAUACUUUGGGGUUGGCUCUUGUCUAUGUUUCUUGGAACAGAACGUCACAGAGGGUGAGAAUCCCGUGCGAUGAGAAGCCCAAUUCCGUGUAAAGUGCCUUCGAAGAGUCGAGUUGUUUGGGAAUGCAGCUCUAAGUGGGUGGUAAAUUCCAUCUAAAGCUAAAUAUUGGCGAGAGACCGAUAGCGAACAAGUACAGUGAUGGAAAGAUGAAAAGAACUUUGAAAAGAGAGUGAAAAAGUACGUGAAAUUGUUGAAAGGGAAGGGCUUGAGAUCAGACUUGGUAUUUUGUAUGUCUUGCUUUCGGGUGGGGCCUCUGCAGUUUACUGGGCCAGCAUCGGUUCGGGUGGUAGGACAAUUGCGAAGGAACGUGGCACUGCUUCGGUGGUGUGUUAUAGCCUUUGUGGAUACUGCCUGUCUGGACCGAGGACUGCGUC
RNAcentral lists this ribosomal RNA (470 nucleotides) under Hemisphaericaspora elongata. RNAcentral describes it as "Spathaspora elongata partial large subunit ribosomal RNA". It matches the Rfam family "Eukaryotic large subunit ribosomal RNA", at positions 124 to 601 of the family's 3401-position model. The record is from RNAcentral. Lineage: Eukaryota; Fungi; Ascomycota; Pichiomycetes; Serinales; Debaryomycetaceae.